GGUUAACGGGGAAUUAGGGUUCAAUUCCGGAGAGGGAGCCUGAGAAACGGCUACCACAUCUAAGGAAGGCAGCAGGCGCGCAAAUUACCCAAUUCUAACAGCAUAAGAGAGGUAGUGACAAGAAAUAACAGUACAAGGCAGUUAAAAUGCUUUGUAAUUGGAAUGAUAGAAAUUUAAAUACUUUUUAAAGUAUCAAUUGGAGGGCAAGUCUGGUGCCAGCAGCCGCGGUAAUUCCAGCUCCAAUAGCGUAUAUUAAAAUUGUUGCAGUUAAAAAGCUCGUAGUUGAAUUUUUGCUAAAAAUAACCGGUCUGCUUUUAUUAAUAAAAGUGGUAUCUUGGUGUGUUUUUAGCAAUAAUGUCCUUUGAAAUGUUUUUUACUUUAUUGUAAGAGGCAAUUUUCAGGAUUUUUACUUUGAGAAAAUUAGAGUGUUUCAAGCAGGCUAACGUUUUGAAUACUGCAGCAUGGAAUAAUAAAAUAGGAUUUUAGUUCUACGUUAUUGGUUUUAAGAACUAAAUUAAUGAUUGAUAGGAGCAGUUGGGGGCAUUUGUAUUUAACUGUCAGAGGUG
This 566-nucleotide ribosomal RNA is filed under the name Hepatozoon sp. JPM-2014. RNAcentral describes it as "bacterial SSU rRNA". It matches the Rfam family "Eukaryotic small subunit ribosomal RNA", at positions 357 to 913 of the family's 1831-position model. Lineage: Eukaryota; Apicomplexa; Hepatozoidae. The record is from RNAcentral.